AAUUCUAGUGUUGUACCCAGUUUUUUUGCCCAUCCUGGGCAGAUGGGUAUAGUAAUUUCUUGUGAUCUUCUAACAUGUGGUCAAACUUUAUCUUCUCUUUUUCACUUUUGCAAUCUUUUUGUGCAUCACGAAUGACAUCACCAAGAGCAUCAUCUUCAACAGGUGCGCCUUCUGCACCUGCCUCAUCUUCAGCUUCUCCCAUUGCUG
Molecule: long non-coding RNA, 207 nt
Filed under: Sorghum bicolor (sorghum)
Lineage: Eukaryota; Viridiplantae; Streptophyta; Magnoliopsida; Poales; Poaceae
Description: long non-coding RNA (SBIC_LNC015503)
Source: RNAcentral